AGAGGUAGUGAUUCAAAAAGUUAAUUUAACAUUUUGACUUUUUGAAUUAUUAUCUUUGA
RNAcentral lists this microRNA precursor (59 nucleotides) under Schmidtea mediterranea. Its description in RNAcentral is "Sme-Let-7-P22_pre stem-loop". Lineage: Eukaryota; Metazoa; Platyhelminthes; Tricladida; Dugesiidae. The record is from RNAcentral.